CAGGCGUUGUUAAGUCAGAUGUGAAAGCCCGGGGCUACAACCUCGGAAUUGCUAUUGAAACUGGCAAACUAGAGUACUGUAGAGGGGGUAGAAUUUCAGGUGUAGCGGUGAAAUGCGUAGAGAUCUGAAGGAAUACCGGUGGCGAAGGCGGCCCCCUGGACAGAUACUGACACUCAGAUGCGAAAGCGUGGGGAGCAAACAGGAUUACGAGUACCCUGGUAG
Molecule: ribosomal RNA, 222 nt
Filed under: uncultured bacterium
Lineage: Bacteria
Description: partial 16S ribosomal RNA
Rfam family: Bacterial small subunit ribosomal RNA
Source: RNAcentral